RNAcentral lists this signal recognition particle RNA (265 nucleotides) under Actinomycetes bacterium. RNAcentral describes it as "signal recognition particle sRNA large type". It matches the Rfam family "Bacterial large signal recognition particle RNA". Rfam says of the family: The signal recognition particle (SRP) is a universally conserved ribonucleoprotein involved in the co-translational targeting of proteins to membranes. Archaeal SRP consists of a 7S RNA and homologues of the eukaryotic SRP19 and SRP54 proteins. Lineage: Bacteria; Bacillati; Actinomycetota; Actinomycetes. The record is from RNAcentral.
CCGUGCUAGGCGGGGAGGUAGCGGUGCCCUGUACCUGCAAUCCGCUAUAGCAGGGCUGAAUUCCGGCCUGAGGCCGUUGGUUUUUAGUAUGAGUUGGGGCAAGCGGUGUUGAUUAGCCGGGUCCCACGCAAUAGAAAUUUGUGAACCCCGUGAGGUCCGGGAGGAAGCAGCGGUAAGCGAACUCUUCUAUGUGCCGCGGGAUAGCCUGGUUGGAGCUGGCUACCCUGAUAUCGCUUGAUUCCAAUUGUCGAAGGUUGGUGCACGG